RNAcentral lists this non-coding RNA (207 nucleotides) under Bradyrhizobium sp. The record is from RNAcentral. Lineage: Bacteria; Pseudomonadati; Pseudomonadota; Alphaproteobacteria; Hyphomicrobiales; Nitrobacteraceae.
GCCAGUUUCGUGAUCGGUAGUGUCUGCAAGGACUCUCCAAGGGAAUGCGGUGCGCCCGUCUCGGCGGGCAAUUCCGCGGCUGCCCCCGCAACUGUAGGCGGAUAGCCGACGACCAGAAAAACCACUGGAGCCCGUUCGGGUCUCUGGGAAGGUGGUCGAAGGCAGUGACCCGCGAGCCAGGAAACCUGCUACCAGCCAUGGUCACGC